Molecule: non-coding RNA, 21 nt
Filed under: Caenorhabditis elegans
Lineage: Eukaryota; Metazoa; Nematoda; Chromadorea; Rhabditida; Rhabditidae
Source: RNAcentral
UAUGUCACCUGUAUAGCUACC